This 497-nucleotide ribosomal RNA is filed under the name uncultured bacterium. Its description in RNAcentral is "partial 16S ribosomal RNA". It matches the Rfam family "Bacterial small subunit ribosomal RNA", at positions 28 to 507 of the family's 1533-position model. The record is from RNAcentral.
GAUGAACGCUGGCGGCGUGCCUAAUACAUGCAAGUCGAGCGAACGGACGAGAAGCUGGCUUUUCUGAUGUUAUCGGCGGACGGGUGAGUAACACGUGGAUAACCUACCUAUAAGACUGGGAUAACAUCGGGAAACCGUAGCUAAUACCGGAUAAUUUUUUGAACCUCAUGGUUCAAAAGUGAAAGACGGUCUUGCUGUCACUUAUAGAUGGAUCCGCGCUGCAUUAGCUAGUUGGUAAGGUAACGGCUUACCAAGGCAACGAUGCAUAGACGACCUGAAAGGGAGAUCGGCCAGACUGGAAGUGAGACACGGUACACACUCCUACGGGAAGACGCAGUAGGGAAUCUUACGCAAUGGGGCAAAGCCUGACGGUGCAAAGCAGCGUAAGUGAUGAAGCUCUUAGGCUGGUAAAACUAUGUUAUUAGUGAAGAACAUAUGUGUAAGUAACUGUGAACAUCAUGACGGUACCGAAUCAGAAAGCCACGGCUAACUACGUG